AUGUUAUCAAGAAAGGUGUAGGGAUUAGACCCAAUGAAGCCUUAGCAACCCUUUAGAAAUAAAGAAGGUGCUAAAUUCUACUCAAUUAUUUUAUAAUUGGAUAGAUAACAA
Molecule: regulatory RNA element, 111 nt
Organism: Polaribacter sp. Hel1_33_78
Lineage: Bacteria; Pseudomonadati; Bacteroidota; Flavobacteriia; Flavobacteriales; Flavobacteriaceae
Rfam family: SAM riboswitch aptamer (S box leader)
About the family: The SAM riboswitch is found upstream of a number of genes which code for proteins involved in methionine or cysteine biosynthesis in Gram-positive bacteria. The SAM riboswitch acts at the level of transcription termination control.
Source: Rfam